Molecule: ribosomal RNA, 1492 nt
Filed under: Pentactella leonina
Lineage: Eukaryota; Metazoa; Echinodermata; Holothuroidea; Dendrochirotida; Cucumariidae
Description: partial 18S ribosomal RNA
Rfam family: Eukaryotic small subunit ribosomal RNA
Source: RNAcentral
UGCACGUCUAAGAACAAUCGUGAAUACACAAGAGAAUCUGCAGAUGGCUCAUUAUAUCAGUUAUGGUUUAUUGGAGAACAGUCAGUUGCCAUGGAUAACUGUGGUAAUUCUAGAGCUAAUACAUGCGAUUAAGCGCCGACCCUUCGGGGGAAGCGUGCUUUUAUUGGGAACAAGGCCAGCUCGGUUCCUCAAGAAUGGGGGCCGGUCUCCGCUGGUGAACUCUAGAUAACCACGCCGAUCGCACGGUCUCGCACCGGCGACGCUCCCUUCAAAAGUCUGCUCUAUCAACUUUCGAUGGUAAGUUAUCUGCUUAUCAUGGUUGUGACGGGUAACGGAGAAUCAGGGUUCGAUUCCGGAGAGGGAGCCUGAGAAACGGCUACCACAUCCAAGGAAGGCAGCAGGCACGCAAAUUACCCACUCCCGACACGGGGAGGUAGUGACAAAAAAUAACGAUACAGGCCUCCUUCGGAGGCUCUGKGAUCGGAAUGAUGCGGUGCUCUUAACUGAGUGCCGUGCGAGGCUGAAACGUUUACUUUGAGAAAAUUAGAGUGUUCAAAGCAGGCCAAAGUGCCCGAACAGCUCAGCAUAGAAUAGUGGAAAAGGACCUCGGCUCGUUCUAUUUCGUUGGUCUCUGGAACCUGAGGUAAUGAUCAAGAGGGACUGCCGGGGGCAUUCGUAUUGCGGCGUGAGAGGUGAAAUUCUUGGAUCGUCGCAAGACGCCCGACAGCGAAAGCAUUUGCCAAGAAUGUCUUCAUUGAUCAAGAACGAAAGUCGGAGGAUCGAAGGCGAUCAGAUACCGCCCUAGUUCCGACCAUAAACGAUACCGACCCGUAAUUCGCCGGCGUUCCUCCCAUGACGCGGCGGGCAACUCUCCGGGAAACCAAAGUCUUUGGGUUCCGGGGGAAGUAUGGUUGCAAAGCUGAAACUUAAAGGAAUUGACGGAAGGGCACCACCAGGAGUGGAGCCUGCGGCUUAAUUUGACUCAACACGGGGAAACCUACCCGGCCCGGACACAGUAAGGAUUGACAGAUUGAGAGCUCUUUCUCGAUUUUGUGGAUGGUGGUGCAUGGCCGUUCUUAGUUGGUGGAGUGAUUUGUCUGGUUAAUUCCGAUAACGAACGAGACUCUGGCUUGCUAUAUAGUCCGGCCACCCGUCGUGGUGUGCCGCGUCUAACUUCAUAGAGGGACAAAUGGCGUUCAGCCAUACGAGAUAGAGCAAUAACAGGUCUGUGAUGCCCUUAGAUGUCCGGGGCCGCACGCGCGCUACACUGGCGCAAGCAGCGGGUACAUUUGCCCUMGGCCGACAGGUCUGGGUAAUCCGCUGAGAUUCCGCCGUGCUGGGGACAGGGACUUGUAAUUGUGUCCCUUGAACGAGGAAUUCCAAGUAAACGCGAGUCAUCAGCUCGCAUUGAUUACGUCCCUGCCCUUUGUACACACCGCCCGUCGCUACUACCGAUCGAAUGGCUUAGUGAGGCCAUUGGAUCGUCCGUCUG